Molecule: ribosomal RNA, 254 nt
Filed under: uncultured bacterium
Lineage: Bacteria
Description: partial 16S ribosomal RNA
Rfam family: Bacterial small subunit ribosomal RNA
Source: RNAcentral
GACAUAGGUUGCGAACGUUAUCCGGAAUUAUUGGGCGUAAAGGGUGCGUAGAUGGUGUAAUAAGUUAUCAGUGGUAAAUCGGGGCUUAACCUCGUGGAAGCUGAUAAUACUGUUAUGCUUGAGUUCAGGAGAAGUUAACGGAACUCUAUGUGGAGCGGUAAAAUGUGACGAUAUAUAGAAGAACACCAAUAGGCGAAAGCAGUUAACUAUUCUGUUACUGACAUUGAGGCACGAAAGCGUGGGGAGCAAAACGG